GAUGAACGCUGGCGGCGUGCCUAAUACAUGCAAGUCGAGCGAACAGAUGAGGAGCUUGCUCCUCUGACGUUAGCGGCGGACGGGUGAGUAACACGUGGAUAACCUACCUAUAAGACUGGGAUAACUUCGGGAAACCGGAGCUAAUACCGGAUAAUAUAUUGAACCGCAUGGUUCUAUAGUGAAAGACGGUUUUGCUGUCACUUAUAGAUGGAUCCGCGCCGCAUUAGCUAGUUGGUAAGGUAACGGCUUACCAAGGCAACGAUGCGUAGCCGACCUGAGAGGGUGAUCGGACACACGGGAACUGAGACACGGUCCAGACUCCUACGGUAGGCAGCAGUAGGGAAUCUUCCGCAAUGGGCGAGAGCCUGACGGAGCAACGCCGCGUGAGGGAUGAAGGUCUUCGGAUCGGAAAGCUCUGUUAUUAGGGAAGAACAAAUGUGUAAGUAACUAUGCACGUCUUGACGGUACCUAAUCAGAAAGCCACGGCUAACUACGUG
Molecule: ribosomal RNA, 497 nt
Filed under: uncultured bacterium
Lineage: Bacteria
Description: partial 16S ribosomal RNA
Rfam family: Bacterial small subunit ribosomal RNA
Source: RNAcentral